UGCACCUUUUAAUUAAGUCCAGAGAGACUUAAAAGGGUGUUACUGCGCAAGAAAAAGCGGAAGCGGACGAAUGCGCCGAGAUAAAGUACUUCCUUCCCCUUUUUUAUACGCAAACAGCGUAACACCCUGUCGACUGGACAGGGUGUUUUUUAUG
This is a non-coding RNA of Geobacillus sp. Y4.1MC1, 154 nucleotides long. The record is from Rfam. Lineage: Bacteria; Bacillati; Bacillota; Bacilli; Caryophanales; Anoxybacillaceae.